Molecule: ribosomal RNA, 398 nt
Filed under: Annachlamys kuhnholtzi
Lineage: Eukaryota; Metazoa; Mollusca; Bivalvia; Pectinida; Pectinidae
Description: partial 16S ribosomal RNA
Rfam family: Bacterial large subunit ribosomal RNA
Source: RNAcentral
UCCUAAACGGACGCGGUAAACGUGCUAAGGUAGCUAAAUUAUGGUCUAUUAAUUGUAGGUCCUGUGAAUGGUUUGACGAGUCUUCAGCUGUCUCUAGUUUGUUUUGGUGAAAUUGAAUUGGAUGUGCAAAUGCUUCCAUGGAUGAGAAAGACGAGAAGACACCGUGAAGUUAGAAAUUGACGUUAGGGGGGGGUGGUUUUGGCUGGGGCAGCAAAGGAGCAAGACUAGACUCCUAUUAGGCAGUUGUGCUACGACCCACAUUGUGUGAUUAGCAGAAGAAGUUACUCCGGGGAUAACAGCGUUAUCGUCUUGAUAGUUCUUAUAGAUGGGCGGGUUUGCGACCUCGAUGUUGCUCUGGAUAUCCUUAGGCUUGAGGCGGUCUUUAGGGUUGGUUCGUU